GCCUGAGUGGCUCAGUCGGUUAAACGUCUGACUUUGGCUCAGGUCUUGAUCUCACUGGUUGUGGGUUUGAGCCCCACGUCAGGCU
RNAcentral lists this transfer RNA (85 nucleotides) under Felis catus (domestic cat). It matches the Rfam family "tRNA". Rfam says of the family: Transfer RNA (tRNA) molecules are approximately 80 nucleotides in length. Their secondary structure includes four short double-helical elements and three loops (D, anti-codon, and T loops). Further hydrogen bonds mediate the characteristic L-shaped molecular structure. tRNAs have two regions of fundamental functional importance: the anti-codon, which is responsible for specific mRNA codon recognition, and the 3' end, to which the tRNAs corresponding amino acid is attached (by aminoacyl-tRNA synthetases). tRNAs cope with the degeneracy of the genetic code in two manners: having more than one tRNA (with a specific anti-codon) for a particular amino acid; and 'wobble' base-pairing, i.e. permitting non-standard base-pairing at the 3rd anti-codon position. Lineage: Eukaryota; Metazoa; Chordata; Mammalia; Carnivora; Felidae. The record is from Rfam by way of RNAcentral.